AACGAACGCUGGCGGCAGGCUUAACACAUGCAAGUCGAGCGCCCCGCAAGGGGAGCGGCAGACGGGUGAGUAACGCGUGGGAACGUACCUUUUGGUUCGUAACAACUCCGGGAAACUGGAGCUAAUACCGGAUAAGCCCUAACGGGGAAAGAUUUAUCGCCGAAAGAUCGGCCCGCGUCUGAUUAGCUAGUUGGUGAGGUAACGGCUCACCAAGGCGACGAUCAGUAGCUGGUCUGAGAGGAUGAUCAGCCACACUGGGACUGAGACACGGCCCAGAAUCUUACGGGAGGCAGCAGUGGGGAAUAUUGGACAAUGGGCGCAAGCCUGAUCCAGCCAUGCCGGGUGAGUGAUGAAGGCCUUAGGGUUGUAAAGCUCUUUUGUCCGGGAAGAUAAUGACUGUACCGGAAGAAUAAGCCCCGGCUAACUUCGUG
Molecule: ribosomal RNA, 431 nt
Filed under: uncultured bacterium
Lineage: Bacteria
Description: partial 16S ribosomal RNA
Rfam family: Bacterial small subunit ribosomal RNA
Source: RNAcentral